GAUGAACGCUGGCGGCGUGCCUAAUACAUGCAAGUCGAGCGAACGGACGAGAAGCUUGCUUCUCUGAUGUUAGCGGCGGACGGGUGAGUAACACGUGGAUAACCUACCUAUAAGACUGGGAUAACUUCGGGAAACCGGAGCUAAUACCGGAUAAUAUUUUGAACCGCAUGGUUCAAAAGUGAAAGACGGUCUUGCUGUCACUUAUAGAUGGAUCCGCGCUGCAUUAGCUAGUUGGUAAGGUAACGGCUUACCAAGGCAACGAUGCAUAGCCGACCUGAGAGGGUGAUCGGCCACACUGGAACUGAGACACGGUCCAGACUCCUACGGGAGGCAGCAGUAGGGAAUCUUCCGCAAUGGGCGAAAGCCUGACGGAGCAACGCCGCGUGAGUGAUGAAGGUCUUCGGAUCGUAAAACUCUGUUAUUAGGGAAGAACAUAUGUGUAAGUAACUGUGCACAUCUUGACGGUACCUAAUCAGAAAGCCACGGCUAACUACGUGCCAGCAGCCGCGGUAAUACGUAGGUGGCAAGCGUUAUCCGGAAUUAUUGGGCGUAAAGCGCGCGUAGGCGGUUUUUUAAGUCUGAUGUGAAAGCCCACGGCUCAACCGUGGAGGGUCAUUGGAAACUGGAAAACUUGAGUGCAGAAGAGGAAAGUGGAAUUCCCUGUGUAGCGGUGAAAUGCGCAGAGAUAUGGAGGAACACCAGUGGCGAAGGCGACUUUCUGGUCUGUAACUGACGCUGAUGUGCGAAAGCGUGGGGAUCAAACAGGAUUAGAUACCCUGGUAGUCCACGCCGUAAACGAUGAGUGCUAAGUGUUAGGGAGUUUCCGCCCCUUAGUGCUGCAGCUAACGCAUUAAGCACUCCGCCUGGGGAGUACGACCGCAAGGUUGAAACUCAAAGGAAUUGACGGGGACCCGCACAAGCGGUGGAGCAUGUGGUUUAAUUCGAAGCAACGCGAGGAACCUUACCAAAUCUUGACAUCCUUUGACAACUCUAGAGAUAGAGCUUUCCCCUUCGGGGGACAAAGUGACAGGUGGUGCAUGGUUGUCGUCAGCUCGUGUCGUGAGAUGUUGGGUUAAGUCCCGCAACGAGCGCAACCCUUAAGCUUAGUUGCCAUCAUUAAGUUGGGCACUCUAAGUUGACUGCCGGUGACAAACCGGAGGAAGGUGGGGAUGACGUCAAAUCAUCAUGCCCCUUAUGAUUUGGGCUACACACGUGCUACAAUGGACAAUACAAAGGGCAGCGAAACCGUGAGGUCAAGCAAAUCCCAUAAAGUUGUUCUCAGUUCGGAUUGUAGUCUGCAACUCGACUACAUGAAGCUGGAAUCGCUAGUAAUCGUAGAUCAGCAUGCUACGGUGAAUACGUUCCCGGGUCU
This 1372-nucleotide ribosomal RNA is filed under the name uncultured bacterium. RNAcentral's name for it is "bacterial SSU rRNA". It matches the Rfam family "Bacterial small subunit ribosomal RNA", at positions 28 to 1381 of the family's 1533-position model. The record is from RNAcentral.